This 435-nucleotide ribosomal RNA is filed under the name uncultured bacterium. Its description in RNAcentral is "partial 16S ribosomal RNA". It matches the Rfam family "Bacterial small subunit ribosomal RNA", at positions 338 to 790 of the family's 1533-position model. The record is from RNAcentral.
CCUACGGGAGACUGCAGUAGGGAAUAUUGCUCAAUGGGGGAAACCCUGAAGCAGCAACGCCGCGUGGAGGAUGAAGGUUUUCGGAUUGUAAACUCCUUUUGUUAGAGAAGAGAAUGACGGUAUCUAACGAAUAAGCACCGGCUAACUCCGUGCCAGCAGCCGCGGUAAUACGGAGGGUGCAAGCGUUACUCGGAAUCACUGGGCGUAAAGAGCGCGUAGGCGGGAUAGCAAGACAGUUGUGAAAUCCUAUGGCUUAACCAUAGAACUGAAGUUGAAACUGUUAUUCUAGAGUAUGGGAGAGGUCCGUGCAAUUCUUCGUGUCGUCGUCCAGUCCGUCGAGAUCCAGAGUCAUACUCCUUGCUACGUCGACCUGCUAGAACCUACCUGCCGCUGAUGCGCGCACGCGUGCGCAGCCCACCGGAUUCUAUACCCGGC